CCUACGGGAGGCAGCAGUGAGGAAUAUUGGUCAAUGGACGAGAGUCUGAACCAGCCAAGUAGCGUGCAGGAUGACGGCCCUAUGGGUUGUAAACUGCUUUUAUAAGGGAAUAAAGUGAGUCUCGUGAGGCUUUUUGCAUGUACCUUAUGAAUAAGGACCGGCUAAUUCCGUGCCAGCAGCCGCGGUAAUA
RNAcentral lists this ribosomal RNA (190 nucleotides) under uncultured Bacteroidia bacterium. RNAcentral's name for it is "partial 16S ribosomal RNA". It matches the Rfam family "Bacterial small subunit ribosomal RNA", at positions 338 to 525 of the family's 1533-position model. The record is from RNAcentral. Lineage: Bacteria; Pseudomonadati; Bacteroidota; Bacteroidia.